AUUGAACGCUAGCGGGAUGCCUUACACAUGCAAGUCGAACGGAGUGGCGAACGGGUGAGUACUGUAUCGGAACGUGCCCAGUAGCGGGGGAUAACUACGCGAAAGCGUAGCUAAUACCGCAUACUAUUGGAGCGGCCGACAUCGGAUUAGCUAGUUGGUGGGGUAACGGCUCACCAAGGCGACGAUCCGUAGCAGGUUUGAGAGGACGACCAGCCAAAUUGGGACUGGAGAACGGCCCAGACUCCUACGGAAGGCAGCAGUGGGGAAUUUUGGACAAGGGGGGAAACCCGGAUCCAGCACUCCGGGGUGUGCGAGGAAGGCCUUCGGGUUGAAAAGCACUUUUGGCAGGAAAGCGGUACCUGCAGAAUAAGCACCGGCUAACUACGUGCCAGCAGCCGCGGUAAUUC
Molecule: ribosomal RNA, 407 nt
Filed under: uncultured bacterium
Lineage: Bacteria
Description: partial 16S ribosomal RNA
Rfam family: Bacterial small subunit ribosomal RNA
Source: RNAcentral